CAGAGGGUGCGAGCGUUAAUCGGAAUUACUGGGCGUAAAGCGUGCGUAGACGGCUAUCUAAGUCGGGUGUGAAAGCCCCCGGGCUCAACCUGGGAAUUGCAUUCGAGACUGAAUAGGCUAGGGUACGGUAGAGGGAAGUGGAAUUUCCGGUGUAGCGGUGAAAUGCGUAGAUAUCGGAAGGAACAUCAGUGGCGAAAGCGACUUCCUGGACCAGUACCGACGUUCAGGCACGAAAGGCGUGGGGAGCAAACAGGAUUAGAUACCCUGGUAGUCCACGCCAUAAACGAUGAGGACUAGACGUUGGAGGGGUAAGCCUUUCAGUGUCGUAGCUAACGCGCUAAGUCCUCCGCCUGGGGGAGUACGGCCGCAAGGUUG
This 375-nucleotide ribosomal RNA is filed under the name uncultured organism. Its description in RNAcentral is "bacterial SSU rRNA". It matches the Rfam family "Bacterial small subunit ribosomal RNA", at positions 526 to 896 of the family's 1533-position model. The record is from RNAcentral.